CGCGGGGUCGAUUGAUUGAAUCGGAACGAUUGUGAUGAUUGUGUCGCGGGUUCAAUUCCCGCUCCCGCUACCA
Molecule: transfer RNA, 73 nt
Filed under: Cryobacterium sp. Hz7
Lineage: Bacteria; Bacillati; Actinomycetota; Actinomycetes; Micrococcales; Microbacteriaceae
Also listed under: 1 other name
Description: tRNA-Thr
Source: RNAcentral